This 78-nucleotide ribosomal RNA is filed under the name Microtus ochrogaster (prairie vole). Lineage: Eukaryota; Metazoa; Chordata; Mammalia; Rodentia; Cricetidae. The record is from RNAcentral.
GACAAUGGCCAUACCUUUCUGUACACAUUUUAUCUCAUCUGAUCUUGGAAGUUAAGGAGUCGGGCCUGGCUACCAUCC